Long non-coding RNA from Pantherophis guttatus, 4698 nucleotides. RefSeq lists it as uncharacterized. The record is from RefSeq and is a predicted model, not a curated record. NCBI's taxonomy places the organism in Eukaryota, Metazoa, Chordata, Lepidosauria, Squamata, Colubridae.
ACCCACCAUCGCUCACCUGCCCUUUUCUUUGGCUGACGCUCUUUCGCGCCCCGGUUCUUACCGCGGGGGCAUUCGCUUGAGAGGAUGGCAGGUUCCGUGACGUCACGGCACCCCAGCCAAUGGCCGCAGAGGGAUGCUGUGAGCAACCUGGAGACGCUGGGCAGCCUCUGAUGGGUUAAGGGGCUCGUCUGAAUGACCUCAACGACCCCCUUCCCCCAAUUAUGACAAGGCUGCGCCUGAAUACAGCCUUCUUCUGCCAGGCUUCCCCUCCUAGAUGGAGAAAGAGUCAGGAGAACUGCAGGAAACUGGAGCAAGAAGUGAAGAGAAAGGACCAGGGGAAACAUAAUAGCAAUCUUCCAAUGUUUGAGGGGCUGCCACAGAGAGGAGGAGGUCAAUCUGUUUUCCAAAGCACCCGAAGGCCAGACAAGGAACAAUGGAUGGAAAAUGAACAAGGAGAGAUUAAACCUGGAAAUAAGGGGAAAUUUUCUGACAGUGAGAACCGUCAACCAAUGGAACAGAAAUUGCCUUCAGAAGUUGUGGGAGCUUCAUCACUGGAAGCUUUCAAGAAGAGACUGGACCGCCAUUUGUCAGAAAUGGUCGAGGGUCUCCUCCUUGGGGGGGGGGGGGGGGUUGGACUAGAUGCUGCCUUCCAACGAGUGGUGGGUUCCUCCUGGUUCGCACCAGUUCUAUAGAACUGGUAAUAAAACGGGCGGGAUGCUCCGCCCACUGACCCUGAUGUCAUCAGAACACAGAAGAGCGCGCGUGCGAGCAGCCUCGUUGCGAACCGGUAGUAAAGAGGACUGCAAAAACCUUGGCCAGAGAGCUCCUGCUGGGCUGCUAGAGAGCAAAGGCAGAAUUCCGUGCUUAUGAGAACACGCUUAGAGAGCAAUCCCCAAGACUUGGAUACAAAGAAGGAUUUCUGCUGAUCAUUUAUGUUUUGCCAAGAAACAGUGAGUGCUGUGCAGAUAAAAAGAAGGAAAGGAAUGGCCAGCCCUUUCGUUGGGAAGAAUUGCACAGUUGUCUCAAGCAACAGAUGCUGGGAAACGACUCCAAAGCCUCUGAGCUAGCUGUCUUUCUUCAAAUGCACUGGGGAAAGCUGUUCCUAUUGUCAAAGAAAGAGAUUCAACAGCAAAUCCAGUUGCCUUUUGCCACAAAACACGAAGCCUCAUUUUGUAUUUCACCUCAAAAAAACAAAAUGUCUUCUGAUCUUUGAAGAGAAAAAUCAAAGGGAGAUUGUAAAAAAAAAAUAAUGUCAAAUAGUCAGAAAGAAACAUCAGCCUCUCUGGAGGCAACAAUGAGCAAUCUGGAAGGCAGUUUGGAUGUGAACCAUAGCCAAACCAGAACCCAUUCUGAAGAGGAAUGGCUAAGACUGAAAGAGAAUUCUGAUGACCAGUGGGGAUCAGUCUGCCUCUCUCUCUUGGCUGGAGGGCAUCCAGAGGUUUCAACCCCUCUGUUCCAUUAAUGAUAAUCAGCAUGCCAAAAGCAUCGGGCUACAUUAUGUUCCACUUCAGUUUCUGCCAGUGAUGCAGCAGGAAGUCAAACCCUGGUACAGAGGUCCUCAAACUUGGUAGCUUUAAGACUUGUGGACUUCAACUCCCAGAAUUCUCCAGCCAGCAUAGCUGAAGUCCACAAGUCUUAAAGCUGCCAAGUUUGAGGACCCCUGGUUUAGAAGGUCCAUGGCUCUGUAUGGAAUGGGUAGUGGAGACUUUUGUUGAUAUCAUAGUUGCCAAAUGGAUACCAUUUGAAACUGUUCCAGUCCAUAUCCACAUCUCACAUGGGCUCAAGAACCAGAGAUUUUGAGCAAUUUUUGAUGUUUUUUUAAAUCUGGGGACAGUGACUAAUUAUCCCCAUUGUUGUAGUUUUUCAGAGCAUGUGCAGAAUUCCCUCUUCCCCAUCUCCCCUGCCCCUCUCCCCCACACACACAUCCAUGGCUCUGAAAGAAACUAUACCGAGUGGAGAUUUUGUCUUCUAACAAAUGCACCUCAGCCUCUCUCUCAGAAAUUCACUCUGCUGGAAUUAAAUUUCAAAUUACAAGAACUAAUUAAUCAAGAGGCCGUUUUAUUUUUAUUUUUCAUUAAGGGUGAAAUAUUGAGGUCUUCUAAAAGAGUCCAACAUAUCCUUUCCUUGAUUAAAAAUGUUAGCCUCUACCUCCCAGGCUAGAAAUUUCAAAGCAGCUGCUAAUUUGGCCUCCUAAGGGAAACUUGGCAAGAAUUGCUGGUCUGGAAUUUUUAUUAGGGAGGUUUAAUUAUUAUGUGCUUUUUUUCCCUCUCCCACCCUUUGGAUGAGAAAUAUUGCCAAGCCCCAACUGUGACACUGAAUGGCCUCAUAAAUUCACAGUGAAAUGUACAGCUUCGGACUCUGGAGAUGGCUGAACUACGUAGUUGAACUGCUACAUCAACAGGUCAGCUCCAGUAAAGAGGACUCUUCCUUCCACCAGGAGUGUGCUUGGGGUUCCCCACAUAAUUUGGUGUUUAGCCUAGGCUUCACAUUUCUUACACAGUGACUCUAAAGCAAAACUCCAGUCAGCUGCGAGGUGAAAUCAAAAGGACAGAUGAGAGUCCAGCCUGAAAAACAGCACUUUGAAGCAGCCAAAUGGUUCAAACAUUGACCACUGUUUCCCUCUCUCUAAAUAAGGAAAUACAGCUUCAUUAGUUUCUGGCAGAAAUCAAGAGUGCAGCUAAAGAUUGUUCCACAAGGCUAGAAUGUUAAACUCCAAGCCAGUAGCUGGCAUUUUGACGUUUUGUUGCUGAACUGCAAUUCCCAGCCCUAUUCUCACACGGGGGCCCUGGUGGUGCAGUAUUGCAGACAGAAUGCAGUAUUGCAGAUAAACUCUGCCCACAGCUUGGAGUUCAAUCCUGAUGGGGCUCAAAGUUGAGUCGGCCUUCCAUCCUUCCAAGGUCCAUAAAAUGUAAGCAACAGAUUGUUGCUUACAUUGUAAACUGCUCAGAGAGUUCUAUAAAGAGCUAUGGGGCGGUAUAUAAGCUUAAAUGCUAAUGUUAUUGUAAGGACCCGCCCCAGCUGUCCCCUCAGGAAAGCAUGACUCCUGAAACAGUUAGUUAUGAAAAGGAACUUUUACUGAGAGAAAGUGAUUGCAGAGAAUUCAGGCGGAAUCUGAAGUUCCCACUCAAAGCGUUAACCUAUUGUUCCCCAUUCAAACCCCACCCCUCUUCACCAGUCCACCGGCAGCCAAUACAGUUCCACAUAGGUGUUUUGAGAACUCCGAGACGUUAGCUUGAUAGAAAUUCAUCUGCAGGGCGCAGGCUGGAACCAGCUGGGAGGAAGCCCAUCUGUCUUCAAGAUAGCCCCUCUCCCUAAAUCCCACGCAGUUACAGCAAAAGUUACAGCAUGUAGAGAAUGCAGCCCAAUAACCUCCGCCUCCCCACAUCAGAAUGGCAGUGUCCCAGCAGAGGACCUGACAUGCUUCCCCCCCUUAAAAGAAGGAUGGCUUAUACCUAUAACACAUAACAUAAUAAAUAGGAAAGAAAAAGAAAAUAUUUAGUUUCAUUUAGGUUUGUCAGGGUAUUAGUUGUGAAACUGUUUGACUAAUUUAGGGGCUCUAACAUGGUGGUGGUUAACCAAUUCAUUUUGGGCAGAGGAAAAUCUUUCCAUGCCAUCAGGUAUUUGAGGGUCCCUUGAUGUUUACGGGAGUCCAAAAUUUCCUUAACUUCAAAAUGUUCAUCUCUUUCUAUCAUGAAGGGUUGAGGAACAGGCAGAGGAGCUGGCCUCAGGGGAAAAGACACCUCAGGUUUCAAUAGACUACAGUGAAAAACAGGUUGGACCUUAAGGAGGGACUUGGGUAGGUCUAACGCUACUGCAACAGGGUAAAUAAUGCGUUUAAUCAGGAAAGGUCCAACAAACCUGGGUCCUAACUUCUUAGAAGGUUGCAAUGACUGUAAGUAUUGUGUGGAAAGAUAUACUCAUACCCCCAUAUUAAUCUUCUUUGACUCAAUUCUUUUAUUGUCCAGUUGACAUUUAUAGGCCUCUUGAGCUUCAGUGAGUGCUUUAUGUAUAACCGGCCAGGUAUUCUACAGCUGGCCAAUCCAGUAUUUCAGUAAGGGGAUUACUGGGUCCUUGGUGGGUAACUUGGGCAUAGGCUUGAAAUCUUGACCCGAUGCAACUCAAAAAGGGGUGAAAGCAGUACUGCUACGUACAGAAUUGCUGUAAGUCAUUUCUGCAAACGGUAAAAGGUCCGUCCAGUUGUCUUGUUGAUAGUUUAUGAAACAUCUAAGGUACUGUUCCAGAACUGAGUUCACUUGUUCACACCCUCCAUUUGUUUGCGAAUGAUGACUAGAACUAAAUCCCUGGUCAGUAGCCAAUAGGUCCAAAAAGGCCCUCUAGAAUCCCACUAUCAGAUAUGAUGUGCUGGGGUGCUUCAUGUAGCCGAUAGAUGUGAUUUAAAACAGCUUAGCAAGUCCCCAUGCCGUGGGUGUUUAUUGGCAAGGGACAAAGUUCACUUGUUUUGAAAAAGAUCUGUCACCACCCAGAUUAUGAUAUUCCCCGCGCUUUCAGGGAUUUCUACAAUAAAGUCCAUAGAGAUCCUCUCCAGGGUGCUGACAGCUCGGCUACAAUCUGAAGUAGCCCCGGUGUUCUCCCCUGUCUCCAUUUAGCAGAUGCACAAAGGGCAAUAUAGCUUUCAAUGUCUUUUUGAAGGGAGGGCCAUCAGAAUUGCCGUUUUAUUAAAUGCAAUGUCUUUACGAA